ACGCUCGACACCUACGGGAGGCAGCAGUGGGGAAUAUUGCACAAUGGGGGAAACCCUGAUGCAGCGACGCCGCGUGGAGGAAGAAGGUCUUCGGAUUGUAAACUCCUGUUGUUGGGGAAAAGAGGAUGGUACCCAACAAGGAAGUGACGGCUAACUACGUGCCAGUAGCCGCGGUAAUCUGAGCGGGCUGGCAAGGC
This 197-nucleotide ribosomal RNA is filed under the name uncultured bacterium. RNAcentral's name for it is "partial 16S ribosomal RNA". It matches the Rfam family "Bacterial small subunit ribosomal RNA", at positions 328 to 539 of the family's 1533-position model. The record is from RNAcentral.